AUUGGAGAUUUAGUUAUGAAUACUAUGGGGAAAAUAUUAUUCGGAAAAGGGCGAAGGAGUAAUGAGGACGAAGGAAUAAAUAAAGCUCACAAAGCAAUUCGAAGAUUUUUCGAAUUGUUAGGAGCUUUUGUUGUGGCUGAUUUUUUACCUUAUUUAAGAUGGCUGGACAUUGGAGGCCAUGAGAAAGCGAUGAAGGAGGUUUCUAAAGAAAUGGACUCUGUUGUUGAAGAAUGGUUAACGGAGCACAAAACAAAGAGAGGAAUUAUCAAAUCUGGUGAAGAAGAAGAUUUCAUGGAUGUCAUGCUUUCCAUUUGUGAAGACAGAGAUCUGCCUGGUUUUGAUGCCGAUACUGCUAUAAAAGCUAAUUGCAUGGUACGUUUGUUCAUUAUCUGCUAAAAGUUACUAUUUCAAAGCAGAUUACUGAAUAUAUAUAUAUAUAUAUAUGUUGAAUUUGUCAGGGUCUACUAUCGGCAGGUACAGACACCACCAUCGUAACUUUAACAUGGGCUUUAUGUUUACUCUUGAACAACUACGAAGCACUAAAAAAGGCUCAAGAUGAGCUAGACGCUCAUGUCGGCAACAACAGAUGGGUCCAAGAAUCGGAUAUCAAGAACUUGGUUUAUCUUCAAGCUAUUGUCAAAGAAGUAUUACGUUUAUAUCCAGCUGGACCGCUCUCUGUACCACACGAGUCAAUGGAGGAUUGUGUCAUUGGGGGAUACGAUAUACCAAAAGGGACUCGCUUAUUAGUGAACUUAUGGAAGAUUCAGCACGAUCCUAAUAUAUGGCCAAAUCCUCACGAGUUUAAGCCAGAGAGGUUCUUGUCGACCCACAAGGAUGUCGAUGUAAAGGGAAAUCACUUUGAGUUAAUGCCAUUUGGUAGUGGAAGAAGAAUGUGCCCUGGAAUAUCUUUGGCCCUUCAAGUGGUGCCCUUUGUAAUAGCAGUGUUGCUGCAGGGGUUUGACAUGAAGAGGCCUUCAGAUGAAGCAAUUGACAUGAGUGAGAGCUUUGGAUUGACAGUGCUCAAAGCUUCUCCACUCCAAGUUCUCCUUGCUCCGCGCUUAGCUUCCGUUCUUUAUGAAUGAAAUGAUGAUAAGAUUUGUUCCUCGUGCCACUACUGUAUACUACUAGUUUGUAAUAUUGUAGUGCAAAUAAUAACAGAACUUCAAAAUUCCUACAUUUGAAAUGUGAUUGUAAAAGUAUUUCUGGAGCCCUUGUUCAAUUUAUAACUGUGACGUUAGGUCUAUAUAUUACCUUCUCAAACCAUUAUUUCAUUUCAUUUCAGUCUGAAGAGAUUUGAAGAAUCAUUCAUCUUUUCCUUCAACCACCUUUCGUACUUUGUAUUGAUAGACAUUUUCACUUCAAAUUUUAGAAUGUGUCUAAACAUUUGUAUGCUAUGAUUAGAUAGUAAUUCGAGUACGACUAUUUUCUCCAUUUCUCUCCAAUAUGGGCCUUCUCCCAAAACGGCAUAGUUAUAGGCCAAGCGCUCUACUGCCAACGGUUUAGGCCAGCUUGCCAAGGCCUUAAGCAAUCUUGGGCUAUUUACUGAAAAGAGGAAGAUGGCCGAUUACAGGCCAUAAUCCAGCAACUUUAGGGGGUGUCCUGCUGUUAAUGUUGCCUCUUUUGUUACCAAAAAUCCCAAAAAGUACGUACAUGAAAUAGAGAAAAUUAAUAAAUGUAGCAACAUAAGUAAUGGACAACUAGCAAAAAAAAUAAAAAUAAACCAUGGCUUAAGGAAAUUAGAGGGAGAAUACUUAAUUAGAUGACUGAUUAAUUAUGAUCAACAUUAUGUGUUAUACAUAUGAUGGAAAUAUAGCUAGAUUCCUUAAUCACUUCACGUGAAAUUACAUUGAUUUUGAUAUACCAACUAAUCAAAUGUUUUAGUACUUAAAAGAAAAUUUUAAGCAUAGUUGGUAGUUGAUAGCAAAGGCGUGACAGUAACUUAGAAGUUGUUAAAUAUUAGUAAUAUUAGAAUUAGAUGAGAGUAUUGAUAAAAUUUUGUUAGGAAUAACAUCUCUGAAUGACCAUAAUAAACACAAUUCAAAUUUAAUCAAACUUUAAUGCGAUUGAGAAACCAAAAACACAUUCAGCUUGAUUUUGUUUGUAUUCAAUGAUUUAUUUCAAUUUGAAGUUGAAUAUUCAAAGUUUGCAAAAUUAGCUUUACUUUGAAAAAUAGUUCUCCUCAAGAAAUGUCAAUAAUUUAUUCGAAAAGUACUAGCUCACCAACUUCGUGUCGUAACGCGUACUAAAGUGUACCAAAAAGUCAUAUAAUACAAUUUGACAUUUGUAUGCUUUUGUAAUAGCAUUUCCAAUCCUAAAUUCUAUUUAUCAUCAAAUAUAUAUUUUUAUAUAAAUAACUAAUUUUAAUCUAACGAUUAAUUAAAUUUAUAUUAUUUAAUUAUUUAUUAUAGUUAUAAUUCACAACUAAUAUUAUAUAUUAAUUACGUGUGUUGACUUUAAGUUUGUAUAAUUAGCCACAUUUAUAUAUGUAUAAUUUGCCAUAAUAUAUAAAUACAAAUAUAUAAUACUAUAGAAUUAUCUAACCAAUAUAUAUAUAGAGAGAGAGAGAGAAUUCACAUCCCUCUCACUUUAUGUCCUCUCUCGCUCGCCUCUCUCCUCUGUCUCCCUAUCUCGGGCGCCUAUCUUCUCCUUCUCCUUGCCUCGCUUGCCAUAUAUAUAUAUAUAAACAUAUGUAUAAUAUACAAUUAUCUGACUAAUAUACAUAUAUACAAUUCACCUAUCACUCACUCUUUUCCCUCUCGCUCGCCUCUCUCCUCUCUUUCCCAUUCUCACUCACCUCUCUCCUCCCUAUAACAUAUAACUAUCAAUUUUAGUUAUCAAACUAUAGCUAUUUAUAUUAAUUAGGUUAUUUUUAAGUGACUAUAUGUGAAAGUUCAUCUUUUCUAUUUUAUUUUCUAAAAAAAUAAUCUUUUUUUCUCUCCUCAAUAUUACAUUAUUAUUUCUUCGUUCUUAUUUUCUUAUUUCAUAAUUUAAAUUUUUUCUUUCUUUUUCCCAAAUAAUUACUUGAUAUAAUUUUCAUAAUGUAAAAUUUUAUUUUUUCAAAUCUUUUAUUUAAUAUAAACUUAUAUUUUAUUUUAAAUUUUACAUAAAAUAUAUUGCAAGAAAAAAUUAGACAAUAGACAAAUUAAUGAACAAAUUCAAAUAAAAGUGCAAUAUAAUUACAUAAACACUCAUUUUUCAAAAUUAUUAUGUUGUUCUCGUAAAUGUUCUAUUAAUGCAUUACAACAUUCAAAAUAAAUAAUUUUUUUCCCUUAAUUCUUUAUAUCUAACUAAAAAUUAUUCAAAUCGAAGAUUUUCAUCUACCAAUAUAUUUUUUUUUCGAAUAGUGAUGAAUUUGGAGACGGCCUAUCAAUUUACUAAAUUGUUGUUAUAAUAAAAUAGUUAUUAGGUUGUACAUUGUAUUGUGUUUUAUCUUAUAUUCAUGUAAUGUAUUGUAUUUUUAAAUUAUUUUUUUUUAUCUUUUAUCACUUUAAUGUUAUGCAUUAUCUAGCAGUAUAGAGAGUAAAAUAGAGCUUAUCAUGUCUACGUCCACACGCCAUUGCUAUCACCAUUCCCAAUGCAACUUUGUCGUUUGUCUAAUGGAUAUUAUUAUUAUUUCCUUAUAAGAGUUGUGCACAACUCUCCCAAAAAUAGGAGAGGAUCCACAGUAACUGUCUUUUCCACACCAAAAAGUUAUGUCAACGCUUUCGUAUACAAAUUCAUAUUUACGAUUCAUGCGUCUAAGUUUUCAUAAAAAUAAACAAGGUAAGAGUGUUAUCACUUACCCCAAUCUCUCUACAUAAAUUUCAAGUGUCUCACAUCGAAGAGGACGACUGAUAAAUUUUAUUAGCAAUGGAUCCCUUUCUAAUUGCUGUUACAUUAGCUACCUCCUUUUUUCUAAUUUUCUUUCUUCAGAAACAAUUUUACUCAGUUAAAAAGCAGAGUAGUAGUAGAAAGGUACCUGGAGCUGGCGGAGCAUGGCCUAUUAUCGGCCAUCUCCACCUUCUCGCUGGAUCUGAAUCUGAUCACUUGCCUCACAAAACGUUGAGCCGCAUGGCAGAUAAGUACGGGCCGAUAUUCGGAAUGAAGCUUGGAGUUCAUCAGGUUGUAGUUGUGAGCGAUCCCAAAUUAGUCAAAGAAUGCUUCACAACUAACGAUUUAGCCCUAGCCAACCGGCCUAAAUCCAUGGUUUCAGAGAUUAUAGGCUACAAAGACGCUAUGUUUGGACUUUGUUCUUACGGUCCUUACUGGAGAGAAACAAGGAAAAUUGCCACAAUUGAACUUUUCUCAGCUCGGCGAAUCGAGAUGCUCAAACACAUCAGAGAAUUUGAGGUAAAAUCAUCUGUUAAAGAGAUUUAUAAUAAUUGGGGGAAGAAUAAUUUAAAUGGUUUUGUGAAGAUGGAGAUGAAGGAAUGGAUUGGAGAUUUAGUUAUGAACACUAUGGGGAAAAUAUUAUUCGGAAAAGGGCGAAGGAGUAAUGAGGACGAAGGAAUAAAUAAGGCUCACAAAGCAAUUCGAAGAUUUUUCGAAUUGUUAGGAGCUUUUGUUGUGGCUGAUUUUUUACCUUACUUAAGAUGGCUGGACAUUGGAGGCCAUGAGAAAGCGAUGAAGGAGGUUUCUAAAGAAUUGGACUCUGUUGUUGCAGAAUGGUUAACAGAGCACAAAACAAAGAGAGGAAUUAUUAAAUCUGGUGAAGAAGAAGAUUUCAUGGAUGUCAUGCUUUCCAUUUGUGAAGACAGAGAUCUGCUUGGAUUCGAUGCCGAUACCGCUAUCAAAGCUACAUGUAUGGUACGUUAAUUAUUCCAAAAUUGUUUCUAUCUUGAUCUCGUAUAUGAAUUUGAUUGCUGAAUUUGUCUUGUUUAGGCUCUGCUAUCGGCAGGUACAGACACGACGAUUGUAACUCUAACGUGGACUUUAUCUCUACUACUCAAUAACUAUCAAUCACUUCAAAAGGCUCAAGAUGAGCUAGACGCUCAUGUUGGCAAGAACAGAUGGGUCCAAGAAUCGGAUAUAAAAAGCUUAGUUUAUCUUCAAGCUAUUGUUAAAGAAGCAUUACGUUUAUAUCCAGCUGCACCACUCUCAGUACCACACGAGUCGAUGGAGGAUUGUACUAUCAGUGGGUAUGAUAUACCAAAAGGCACUCGCUUACUAGUGAACUUAUGGAAGAUUCAGCACGAUCCUAAUAUAUGGCCAAAUCCUCUCGAGUUUAAGCCAGAGAGGUUCUUGUCGACCCAUAAGGAUGUGGAUGUAAAGGGCAAUCACUUUGAGUUAAUGCCAUUUGGUAGUGGAAGAAGAAUGUGCCCUGGAAUUUCGUUAGCCCUUCAAGUUUUGCCCUUUGUAAUUGCAAAAUUGCUGCAGGGUUUUAACAUGAAGAGGCCUUCAGAUGAACCAAUUGAUAUGAGUGAGAGCUUUGGAUUGACCGUACUCAAAGCUUCUCCACUCGAAGUUCUCCUUGCUCCGCGCUUGGCUCCCGAUCUUUAUGAAUGAAAUGAUAGACAAAACUUGUGCCUCAUGCCACUGUUGUUUACUACAAGUUUGUAAUAUUGUAAUGCAGAUAAUAACAGAACUUAAAAAUUCCUUCAUUUGAAAUGCGAUUGUAAAAGUAUUUUACAAGUCCAUCAAGUUUUGGUGGUGAAUAAUAAUAAGAUUGCUCAACUGCCACAGGCCUUGGCAUUAGAACUCUUGUGCUACAACUACUCCCUUUUGUGCUUGGGCAAUUAUUGGCAAGAUAUCAAAAAGAGAGUCGUAGUUGAUUUACUCGAUAUCAAAUGUUGCUCAAAAUAUAAAUGAGAAAUUAGUUCGAGAACUUGAUCAUAAACUUUAGUGUACAUAGUAAUUUGAAUCUACAAUUUUAUGUUAAAAUAUAUGAUCAACGCAUUUAAUAAUUUAACAUACUAUUAAAGAGAUUGAACAUGUUUUUAUUUUUUUUAGUUACGUCUAACCUAGUGAGCAAAAUAUUAUGUACCUAGUUGUUGAGGCCACAGUAUUCAACUCUCGUACAUACAUGUUAGGCAUGUGUAUGUAUAUAUUCACUUAAAAUUUGUCUUCAUUAUAAUGAUUUCUUAAUUUGUACCUUGUGAGAAUCUUUUAGGGUUGGUAGUGAUGAUACCACAUGGGCAAAAAUUCAUCGUACCUCUCAAAAAGGCCAGGUUGUACUAGUGAGUUGGACAACAUGUGAUAUCUAACGAGGAAAUCAUGAAUAUGAUUUUCCACUACUACUAUAUUUUUCCAAUAGAGUUUAACGCACUUAACGUAUUCACGUGAAUUUAUGCUCCUCUUUUAAAUUAUAUAUAACAGUGUUAUAUUUUUUAAAAAGUAUUUAAGCAUAGAUGUGUGAACUCACACUUGAAGUAUCAAAUAACGUCGUGUUAUAAUGAUUGGAUGCACUUCUCUAAUCAAAGUUAAAAAAAUUUGAAUCUUUUAUUUGACAAAAUAAAGUUAAACUGGAUGAAUUUAUAUCUUAAAUUUUCUUUUUCGUAGUACACCUAUCAUCUCAAAAUUCUGAAUAUGCCUCUGCUAGUAUAAUUUCAAAAAUUAUUGCAUAUAAGUGAAUCUACUAGAUGCGUACUCAAAGUAUAGCAAUCGAGUUUUCCAUUGGUUAAACACAAGAAGAAGAAAAAAGGAAGAAGCCAAGUUGUUUCAUGGAACAUACUUCGCGAAUUAUCAACUUUCCAUAGUAUAAAAUAGUAUUAAACAUAGUAAUAUUUCUAUUAGUUCUUUUUUUUAUUUAAUAUUUCUACUAGUUACAUUAGCACCGAUUAUAAAUAAUUAUUGUAAAUCACACUAGAUACACACUAUAUAUAUAUAUGGUGUGAUUUGAACGAAUUUGGGAAAUCAGACGAUACACAAGCGAAAUAUUAAAGUGAAGAGGGAUAUGAGAGAGAGGCGAAAGAGAUAUGCGCAUGGUGAGCAAGAUAAGAGGAAGACAGACUAGAUUUAUCUAUUAUACUAAAUACACGUGAUUCACACUAAUAUGUCUAAACAUUUGUACACAAUGAUUAGAGAGUAAUUCGAGUACAACUAUUUUCUCCAUUUCUCUCCAAUAUGGGCCUUUCCCAAAACGGCUAUGUUAUAUGCCUAGAGCUCUAUUGCCAACGACUUAAGCCGGCUUGCCAAGUCCUUAAUGUUGGUUAGUAAACCAAUCUUGGGCUACCUUCGUAUCGUUCAACAAAAUUUGAUGGGCUCCAAAUUUUACUGUGAAAAUUGGCGCAUAUUUGUCUGCCAUGAGCCCAAGUGUUUUGUGAGGCAGAUUAGAUCCAGUGAAAAGAUGAAGAUGGCCGAUAACAAGGAAAAACUACUUAACUACACAUAAAUUACUAUCAUAUAUACAAUUUUAUCUCUAGUUUCAAACAAUUACUUAUGUUAUUACUUUUUAUAUUUUAUAUCAUAUAUUUUAAAAGAUACAAUCAGAUAAACAAUUUUUUUUUAAAAAAUGAAUUGAUUAAUUAUCUUUGUAUUUAAACACCUAAAUAAUGGUGAAUUGACAUAGAAAAAUUCUCUCUCAUCAAUCAUAUCUCUCUUCCAAAUAAAAUUCUUAUUAUUCAUCCGUAUUGCAUCUGUCAUCCCACCCUCAUAUACAUCCGCCAAUAUUUUUUCUUUCUCUGAAAUUACAUUUAAAUAGCAAAUCAAAAUUGUUGAAUGCCUUGAAUUGGGCCCUUAAUUUUCUAUUGAUUCUGUAUGUUGGGCCCAAGCCUGUUAGGGCGUAGCUUAGCACUAUAUAUAGACGCUAUGGGAAACCCUAUUCUGUAAUUCUGUUCUUGCCUCUCCAUAAUAAAACUGUCCCCCUCUUUCCGUGGACGUAGCCAAUUUAUUGGUGAACCACGUAAACUGUUGUCUUGUUUUUCGCGUUUAUAUUUUCUCGUAUUAUCUCAAAUUCCGCACAACAAAUUGGUAUAAGAGCCUCUCGGUUAAUCGGUGUUCUUGGAGAAUUCGAGAUGUCUGCUUUGAACGUGAAAAUCGACAAAUUCACAGGGAGGAACAGUUUCAGUUUAUGGCAGAUCAAGAUGCGGGCUUUGUUGAAACAGCAAGGCUUCUGGGCGCCGUUGUCGAAAGACAAGAACGCCGUCGUUACUCCUGAGAUGGCGAUUCUGGAGGAAAAGGCGCACUCGACGAUCAUGCUGUGUCUCGCGGAUGACGUCAUCACGGAGGUCUCGGAUGAAGAGACUGCUGCUGGUCUGUGGUUGAAGCUGGAGAGUUUGUACAUGACAAAAUCUCUAACCAACAAGCUGCUUCUGAAACAACGUCUAUUCGAUUUACGAAUGGCUGAAGGUACACAACUCAGGGAACACUUAGAGCAAUUGAAUACUUUGUUAUUAGAAUUGCGUAAUAUCGAUGUGAAGAUCGAGGAUGAAGAUGCUGCCCUGAUUCUGUUAGUAUCUCUCCCAAUGUCGUUUGAGAAUUUUAUUCAAUCGUUCAUUGUUGGGAAAGAUACUGUGUCACUGGAAGAAGUCAGAUCGGCCCUUCAUAGCAGGGAAUUACGGCAUAAGGCUAACGGCACAAGUACGGACAUACAGCCUUCCGGUCUGUUCACCAGUAGCGGAAAGGGAAGGAAAAACGGCGGAAAGAAAAAUAAGCCGAUGUCGAAGGGUGCAAAGCCGGAUGAUGUUUGUAAUUACUGCAAGGAGAAGGGACAUUGGAAAUUUGAUUGUCCGAAGAAGAAGAAGCAAUCGGAAAAACAAUCAGUGUCUGCUGCUGUUGCUGAAGAAGACACCAAUUCUGAAGAAGAUAUUGCCCUAGUUGCGGAUGAGCACACUCAUCAUUCAGAUGUGUGGGUUCUCGAUUCUGGGGCAUCCUAUCACAUCUGUCCUAGGAGAGAGUGGUUCACGACUUAUGAGCAGGUAGACGGAGGCAGCAUCUCGAUGGCCAACAGUUCUGUCUGCAAGGUGGUUGGGACAGGCUCGAUCAAGAUAAGGACACAUGACGGUAGCUUCUGCACAUUGAACGAGGUCAGGCACGUUCCAUUGAUGAUGAAAAAUCUGAUAUCUCUCAGUCUUUUGGACAGCAAGGGAUUCAGCUGGUCGGGAAAAGAUGGAGUCUUGCGGGUCUGGAAGGGUUCAAAUUUGAUUCUGAAAGGUGUCAUGCGUGGUACUUUGUAUUUUCUACAAGGUUCCACGGUUACAGGUUCAGCCCAUGUUGCAUCGUCAGAAUUUCACCAGAAGGAUAUGACUAAGUUAUGGCACAUGAGACUUGGUCAUAUGGGUGAAAGAGGGAUGCAAAUUCUGUCAAAGGAGGAUUUACUUGCUGGUCAUAAGGUUAAGAGCCUAGAGUUUUGUGAACAUUGUGUUUUUGGAAAACUACAUCGCAACAAGUUUCCAAAGGCCAUUUAUAGAACAAAAGGCACACUUGAUUAUAUUCAUUCUGAUUGCUGGGGUCCAUGCCGUGUUGAGUCUUUGGGAGGUUGCAGAUUUUUUGUGUCCAUUAUUGAUGACUACUCAAGGAUGACUUGGGUGUACAUGAUGAAGCAUAAAAGUCAAGCCUUCCAGAAGUUCAAGGAGUGGAAAAUUUUGAUGGAAAAUCAAACAGGGAAGAAGAUCAAGAGGUUGCGAACUGAUAAUGGGCUGGAAUUCUGUUGGUCUGAAUUUGAUCAAUUCUGUAAGGAUGAAGGGAUUGCUCGACAUCGUACAGUCAGAAAUACACCACAGCAGAACGGUGUAGCUGAGCGGAUGAAUCAAACACUUCUGGAGAGAGCAAGGUGCAUGUUCUCUAAUGCUGGGCUAGAUAGAAGAUUCUGGGCAGAAGCGGUUAGUACAGCUUGCUACUUGAUUAACCGCGGACCACAUACAGGCAUACAGUGCAAGACACCUAUGGAGAUGUGGUCAGGAAAAGCUGCUGAUUAUUCAAAUCUGAAAGCUUUUGGUUGUACGGCUUACUAUCACGUCAGUGAAGGUAAGUUAGAACCAAGAGCUAAAAAGGGAGUAUUUGUGGGCUACGGAGAUGGAGUGAAAGGUUUCAGAAUCUGGUCUCCAGCAGAAAAGAGGGUUAUUAUGAGCAGGAACGUUGUCUUUGAUGAAAGUUCUCUGCUUAGAACCAUUGUGAAGCCUACAACUACGUCAGAAACUGGGAGUCUUGACAAACAGGUGGAGUUUCAAGUCAUUCAGAACGAGAGAGAUUUAAAGGAACCUGAAGAGGAGGAUCAAGAGCCACAGACAAAAACUGAUAUUCCAGAAUCUAUGCCAUCAGAUAUCCAUCAGAGUAUAGCUCAAGAUCGGCCAAGGAGGGUUGGAGUUCGGCCACCUACGAGGUAUGGUUUUGAGGACAUGGUGGGUUAUGCACUGCAGGUUGCUGAAGAGGUAGAUACAUCUGAGCCGUCUACUUACAAAGAAGCCAUUUUAAGUUCUGAUUCUGAAAAAUGGUUUGCCGCUAUGGGAGAUGAGAUGGAGUCCCUACACAAGAAUCAGACAUGGGAUCUGGUCAUACAGCCUUUGGGGAGAAAGAUUAUUACUUGCAAAUGGGUUUUCAAGAAGAAGGAAGGGAUAUCACCAGCAGAAGGAGUCAAGUAUAAAGCCAGGGUUGUUGCCAGAGGUUUCAACCAAAGAGAGGGAGUGGACUACAAUGAGAUCUUCUCACCAGUGGUCAGACAUACUUCCAUCCGAGUGUUACUAGCGAUAGUUGCACAUCAGAAUCUGGAGCUUGAACAACUUGAUGUGAAGACAGCGUUUCUACAUGGAGAGUUGGAGGAAGAGAUAUACAUGACUCAGCCGGAUGGUUUCCAAGUUCCAGGGAAGGAAAAUCACGUCUGCAAGUUGAAGAAGUCCUUAUAUGGACUUAAGCAGUCUCCAAGGCAGUGGUAUAAAAGGUUUGACAGCUAUAUGGUGAAGUUGGGCUAUACUCGGAGCUCAUAUGAUUGUUGUGUCUACUACAAUAGGCUCAAUGAUGAUUCAUUCAUCUAUCUGGUGCUUUAUGUAGAUGAUAUGUUGAUAGCUGCAAAGAAGAAGUAUGACAUUCAGAAGCUGAAGGGUUUACUUAGUGCUGAGUUUGAGAUGAAGGAUCUGGGAGCCGCUCGGAAGAUUUUAGGGAUGGAGAUCAUUAGAGACAGAGAGAGAAGGAAACUUUUCUUGUCACAGAGAAGCUACAUUCAGAAGGUCUUGGCGAGGUUUGAUAUGUCUUCAUCUAAGCCCAUUGAUACCCCCAGUGCUGCCAAUAUCCAUCUCACUGCCAUGUUCGCUCCACAGUCAGAAGAAGAGAAGGAGUAUAUGUCACGAGUCCCUUAUGCCAGUGCCGUAGGAAGUUUGAUGUAUGCUAUGGUCUGUACAAGGCCAGAUUUAGCACAUGCAGUCAGUGUAGUGAGCAGAUUCAUGGGACAACCAGGGAGAGAACAUUGGCAGGCUGUGAAGAGAAUUUUCCGGUACCUUAGAGGUACAUCUGACGUUGGUCUCAUUUAUGGAGGUAAUACUCAGUGCUUGGUUACUGGCUAUUCUGAUUCAGACUAUGCUGGAGAUGUUGACACAAGAAGAUCGAUGACUGGCUAUGUGUUUACCCUUGGAGGAUCUGUCGUCAGUUGGAAGGCAACUUUGCAACCUACAGUGACUUUGUCUACUACGGAAGCGGAGUACAUGGCCUUGACAGAGGCUGCAAAAGAAGGGAUUUGGUUGAAAGGGCUGGUUAGCGAUCUUGGUCUGCAUCAUGAUCAGGCUACGGUGUAUUGUGACAGUUUGAGCGCAAUUUGUCUAGCCAAGGAUCAAGUCCAUCAUGAGAGAACCAAGCAUAUUGACGUAAGGUAUCAUUUUCUGAGAAGUGAGAAGAGAAUCAAGGUGAAGAAAGUAGGAACUGCUGAUAAUCCUGCUGAUAUGUUUACAAAGCCGGUUCCACAGAGCAAGUUUCAACACUGUUUGGACUUGCUCAACAUCAGAAGCUGUUAAUUGCCCUGCGGGGCAACUCUGAGGAAGAUGGGGAGGCCUGACACUAUCAUAGUGCGUCUGAAGAAUCUGUUCGGAGAAUUCAAGUCAAGGUGGAGAUUUGUUGAAUGCCUUGAAUUGGGCCCUUAAUUUUCUAUUGAUUCUGUAUGUUGGGCCCAAGCCUGUUAGGGCGUAGCUUAGCACUAUAUAUAGACGCUAUGGGAAACCCUAUUCUGUAAUUCUAUUCUUGCCUCUCCAUAAUAAAACUGUCCCCCUCUUCCCGUGGACGUAGCCAAUUUAUUGGUGAACCACGUAAACUGUUGUCUUGUUUUUCGCAUUUAUAUUUUCUCGUAUUAUCUCAAAUUCCGCACAACAAAAAUUGUAUAUAGAAAUUUGUAACUUUGUUUCAUUAUUCUCAUGUAUCUAGAAUAAAGUUCUCCCUUUUCACAUAUAUAUGUGUAGAGUUCAUAUCAUUUUAAAUUUUAAUUUUAAAUCUUUUUACGAAUUAAGUCCUACAUAGUAUGAUCUUGGUACUAUUUAUUAUUUCAUGGGUGAUCAUUCCCAAAAUUGAAUGAUCCCAGUAAAUGUACAAUACAUUAACAUUAAUAUAUAAUAUGUUUAUGAUAUAUGAACUUUUUAGUUUUGUUUUCUCUCAAUAUUUUUUCAUUGCAGGGUUAAAUCUCUAUCCGUUAACAUUCAAGCUAAGAAUAGAUCCUAGCACUAAAAUGACCCAAUAUAAAUGGAAGAACUAUGUGAACUCUGAAGCUCUACUUACCCAAAUAGAUACAACACUAAACCUAGUUACACAUCUAGUGCAAGAUGUUCUUUCUAACACAUCUUCUUAAGGAAACAAACCCAGAAAUUUAAAAAAGCAUGUAUCUUGAUUUUUUUUACUCGUAAGAUACACGUAUCUCAAUUUUUUAACUCUCGAAUACAUGGCAACUGGAAAAAAAAAAGACAUCCGUGGCUCAAGGAAAUUAGAGGGGGAAUACUUAAUUAGAUGACUGAUUAAUUAUGAUCAACAUUAUGUGAAUGUAUAUGAUGGAAAUAUAGCUAAAUUCCUUAAUCACUUUUUGUGAAAUAAUAUUUAUUUUGAUAAAGAGAAUAUGAAUAGUAAUUUUUCUAACUUCUACCCUUAUUUAGAAGGGACGGUUUAGAGGACUAACACUGCAUAAGAAAAUUGUACCAAAAGCAAAGUAAAUUGUACUACUUUUGCUCUGUCUGGCCCAUAUUUAUUGGCAAUAGUUGCUUUACAUCCACGUGUAAGAAAUUGGAAUCACCUCUGCUUUUGAAAUAAAUAAAUUGUCUCUCUUUGCAAACUAUAAACAUCUCUAUCACUUUCUCUUUUUAUCUUGAAAUGGGUGAGUUCUUUUUGUCCCAUGUAUUAUAUGUGAUAAUUGUAAAAUGUCUAUUUUUAUCCUUCAAUUCCUAAUUUAUUUCCAGUUCUUUUUGGUAUUUAUUGGAUAUUAUGAUUUUUAAUGCAUUGUUGUAAGAUAUUAUUCUUGCAUGUUACUAAUUCGGUUUGAUUUAAUCAGGGUUGUUCGAAAAUUGAUUUCUCCAUUUUUUUACUAGAUGGUGUGAUGUAGUACUGUAGCGCAUCUAGAGCUUUUUUGUGGGUUUUUGUUCUUUUAGAACUUGUCAAUUUUUUUUUCUAUUUGUGCAAGUUUGAGCUCCCUAUUUUGAAAGUUAAAUUUUUAUUUUGAAUUUUGAAUUUGACUUGAGAGUUGUAUUGUGAAUGGCUUAGGAAAAUAACAAAGAUAGCCUAUAUGUAGAGCAAUGAAACUCGAACGUGAAUUUGGGGAAACAACAAACGUCUAUUUCCAUCUUAAGAGUAGUUCCAUUUUUUUAAAAAAAAAUGAGAAAAAAUCAUGUGAAUGUAGAGUAACGCAUGUUUUUCUUUCCUCCUUUGAAUUGCUUCCCUUUCAUAUCAAUCUGCUAAUAUUGAUCCAUUUGACAACUAAUUUUAAUGUUUUCUUAUUUUUCUAGCAUAUGGAAAGAUGCAAGCACAAGGUGGAUAAGCUGAUAGGAAAAAACAUGUUCUCGGGAUCACUAGAACCCUUUGGGAUGCUUCAACCAAUAAUGAAAGCAUAUAGUUUUUCUCCACCGUAUUACAGUAACAAAAUUUUUUUUCAUAAGUUCCUUUUGGCUCAUUUGGUGUCGAAUGCACAAGCAGAGCAGAGAAGAACAAGGUAAACGUAAUGGUAGCACAAUGUAAUUAUAGAAAACUUCAGUAUUUAGGAUAGAAAGUCGACUGGUCCGUUAAAAGUUUUCUUAUUUUGCAUAAAUUACUUUAAGUGUUCUCAAUAGAGUUAUAGCGUGACAUGUGGAUGGAUUUUCCUAAAUUGUUAUUGCAUUCGUAUAUAAUUUUAUGCACUACUUUUGAAGUAUCCGACACGAAGAGUCCAAGCAACAUAGCAAGUAGAAAAAAGUGUCCCCGCAAAUGCAGCAAUAAGAAGAAAGGUCUUUGGUUAUCCAGGAGGUGACACUGUUGUUGUGAUAAACCCUGUUGUCGAAAUCAAAAUUCUUCGGAAGAGCCGAUUAAACACUCUUGAGCAAAAGAAAAGCAAAUACGACUGAAGAUUUUUACUUCCCUCUCUUUUACCAAUAAUGAAAGAUAUGAAUGCAUUCCCUUGCCUAGAUGAAAGGUAUAUCAAGUAAUAUCAUUAUAUAUAGUUAGAUUGAUGAUCUAUUAUCAGGUUGUUUAUGGAUGUUCAUGCAAAUCGAACAAUCUUCUUCUUGAUGUUGUGAUCCUGUGCAUUACAGUUUAGAUUACAUUUCAAUAUUGACAUUUUAAACUUGAAGUAUAGUUUAUACAGAACAACUCACAAUAACUCUAACUUAAAUAGCUUGAUUUCUGAAAAUACCAUAUUAACAAAAAUGACAAGCUUUAUUAAUAUUAAAAUGGAUGAAAGCUAAAAAAAUAAUUCAGACACACAUAUAGGUCAACUGGUGAUAUAUUAUUCCAUAUUUGCUUUUGUACUUUUUCACUAUAGUAAAUAUUUUUAUGAUGAUCGACAUGUCAACUUUUUGUCUACUUUGUAUUAAAUUGUUCAGGUUGUACAUUAGCUUGGAUAGUAGUAAAUUUAUCAUUUUUUAAUACAAUUAUCUACAACUCAUUUUAUUUGUACUUAAAUAGAUAGUAGUAACCAAUGAACUCAUAACGCUUAUCUUAAGAUUCCAUAUUCAGACCAUAAAAACUACAUAUCUAUUUUAUCACUCAUUGGUGGAAAGUCUAAAUCUAUAACUAUAUGAUAUUUCAUUCCAGGCAUUUUUGAUAAAAGCAAGCUGAGAAUAGAGUCAUAUUUGGUGAACAUUUCUUCAGCUGGACACUUAAAUCGGGGAUCGACUCUAAAACCUUUCCUGGGUACAUGUAUAGGGUGUCAAAGUUGAACUAGGAAGCAUCCGUACUAGCAUGUGACAUCUUCGACUUUACCCGUCUUUGGAGUCUAUUUGUAAGUCCAAAUUUAUGGAUGUUCAGAAAGAACUUGAUUGAUAAUAUCGUUUUUUCAGUUCAUAGCGUUGGUUUGAUAUUUGAGAUCUGUUUAUGUUGUAAAUGUGCAAAGUCUAAUCUUUUGAUUGUAAAAAAAAGGAUUAUAAUCUUAGGCUAUGAAAUUUAUACAUCACUUCCCUUGCGGUUAGUAUUUAUUUUUUAAUGCUCAAAUGUCCUCUUUAUUCAUGUUUUCUUUGUGAAUUCUAGCCUCAGGAGUAUCUAUCGGAUAAAAAUAGCAGUAACAACAAGUAAAGAGGAUUGAAGCAACAAUGUCUUUGACGAAAUUUUCCAGUGAAAGAAAGAUCACCAACAAGUUUGUUUAACUCUUUUUCUACAACUAUCUACUAUCAAGCUCAUCGCUUAGCAUGGACGUUAAUCAUCGAUAUUUCUUUUGUCAUGCUAUUCUCUACAUUAUGCUUCAUAUACAAAAGACAUAUGUCUUGAAUCGAAAAUGAACACUCAUUUAGUUGAAUUAAGAUACUGAAUGUUGUCACAAUUGUUUACUUGGUGUUUAAAUGAACUUUAUUUGAAGUAUCAUACCAUUAUUCAAUGGUAUUGAAAAAUUGAGGAUAAGUAUAACGUUUUAAUUAAAUUUUAGUUAAAAUUGUGAGUUUGAGUUGUAAUUUAUCCUAUCUGAAACUGCUUACUCUAGCAAUAUGUUGGUAUCUCAUAUUGAGAAGUACAUUGUUGCUAUUCCUGGCCCAGUUCACUAUAUUUUUAUGAAAUUCUUUGAUCUCUACAGGUUUAUUUGUUUUUUGCUAUGAAUAACUUUGGAUAUAUUGGUGCUACUCCUAGCCUGAUUCACUAUAUCUCUAAUUUUCUAUUGAAUAGUGAAAAUGUAGGUUUUGAAGUGAUUUACUAAUACAUUAUAUGUGUACAUUUUGAUUUUUUUUAGAAGAAAUCACAAUGGACAUUCUUUUGUUUGACCAACAUCUAAGAUUAUCAGUUUCAUGUGUUAUUAUAAACUGUCAAAUAUUUAAUCUAUUCAGUAGGUAACUUUCUGAUUUAGUCUGCUUAGUUCAAGUUUUAUGAAUUUGAUGAAAAAACAUUUGGAAUGAUUAGCAAUUAGUACUUUUCGAUCCUUGCUCACUUUAACCAUUAUAUAUCGUUAGUGAGGUAAGUAAUCGAAAAAACAAUCGAAUUCUAGAAACAGAACAGAUUAGAUCAUGGAAAAGGAUUGAUUAUAAAUUCUCUUAUUAUCAUUUCUUCAGGUAUAAUUUUACAUGGCUAAAGAUGAAAAUUGACCUUGAUAGGCUUUAAUAGAAACUUGUGUUGACUACUUCUGGCCUGUGGAAAGCAGAUAUGUACAAGAGUUGAAAAGUUAAUGUUUUUUUAAAUGAUAUGUUGUAAAUGCGGAAUGUUUCCAAUUACUUUUUUGUUGAUCAGGCGACAUCCGAAUUUGAACUGGGAAAAAAAGGAUUUGCAAUCCUCUUAGAGUCUUUUACCAUGUCUGCUCUUUACUUGAUCAUCUCUUUCAUUGAUACAUCGAGAUUACUUGAAUAAAUUAUUUCUGUAGUUUAUACUGCUAAAUUUAAAAUUUAUGGAGAUCGAACUUGCAAUGUUGGGCCUGUGCUCAGCACGGGCCAUGCCUCUCUAGUUAAAAAAAUAAAGGAUAGAAUUUAAAAUAAAGAGAUAUUAAAGUAUUCAUUUUCUAUUUUGUUUCUAAACGUAGAAAAUGAAAAAUAAAAUAAAGUUGAGUCGGGGAUGACCUUACCCUCUCUACGUCCACAUGCAACGCUAUCACCAUUUGCAAUGCAACUUGUCGUUUGUCUAAUGGAUAUUAUUAUUAUUUCCUUAUUAAGAGUUGUGCACAACUCUCCCAAAAAUAGGAGAGGAUUCGUAUAUCUUUUACACUUUGAAGUUAUGUCAAAAUGUCGAUGCUUUCGUAGAAUUUAAUACAAAAUUCAUGUGUUUGAGUCUUGAUGAAAAUUAAAAAUAAGAAUAUUUUAUAUCAUUCGUUUUAAUUUUAAGGGAAAAUGUCCAAGUACCUCCUCAACCUAUACCCGAAAUUCCAGAGACAUACUUAUACUAUACUAAGGUCCUAUUACCCCUGAACUUAUUUUAUAUGUAAUAUUAUACCCUUUUUAGCCUACGUGGCACUAGUUCAAAAAAAAAGUCAACCAUCGUUGGGCCCACAAGAUAGUGCCACGUAAGCUAAAAAGGGUAAAAAAUUAUUAAUAAAAUAAGUUCAAGAGUAAUAAGACCUUAGUAUAGUAUAAGUGUGUCUCUGAUAUUUCGGGCAUAGGUUAAGAGGUACUUGGGCAUUAUCCCAAUUUUAAUGAAAAUAAAAACAAAUAAGAUAAAGAGUAUUUUAUAUGGAUGAGAAGAGCUCUCUAUAAGUUCCGAGUGUUUUCACUUAACCACGGUAGAGAAGAUGACUGACUGACAUAUUUUAUUACCCAUGGAUUUAUUUCUAAUUGUUGUUACAUUAGCUACCUCCUUUAUUCUACUUUUCAUUCUUCAUAAACAAUUUUACUCAGUUAAAAAGCAGAGUAGUAGUAGUAGAAAGGUACCUGAAGCUGGCGGAGCAUGGCCUAUUAUCGGCCAUCUCCACCUUCUCGGUGGAUCUGAAUCUGAUCACUUGCCUCACAAAAUGUUGGGCCGCUUGGCAGAUAAGUACGGGCCUAUUUUCGGAAUGAAGCUUGGAGUUCAUCAGGUUGUAGUUGUGAGUGAUCACAAAUUAGCAAAGGAGUGCUUCACAACUAACGAUUUAGCCCUAGCAGGUCGGCCUAAAUCAAUGGCUUCAGAGAUUAUAGGCUACAAACAUGCUAUGUUUGGACUUUGUUCUUACGGUCCGUACUGGAGAGAAACAAGGAAAAUUGCCACAAUUGAACUUUUCUCCGCUCGACGAAUCGAGAUGCUCAAACACAUCAGAGAAUUUGAGGUAAAAUCAGGUAUUAAAGAGAUUUAUAAUAAUUGGGAGAAGAAUAAUUUAAAUGGUGUUGUGAAGAUGGAGAUGAAGGAAUGGAUUGGGGAUUUAUUUAUGAACACUAUGGGGAAAAUAUUAUUCGGAAAAGGGCGAAGGAGUAACGAGGACGAAGGAAUAAAUAAAGCUCACAAAGCAAUUCGAAGAUUUUUCGAAUUGUUAGGAGUUUUUGUUGUGGCUGAUUUUUUACCUUAUUUAAGAUGGCUGGACAUUGGAGGCCAUGAGAAAGCGAUGAAGGAGGUUUCUAAAGAAAUGGACUCUGUUGUUGAAGAAUGGUUAACAGAGCACAAAACGAAGAGAGGAAUUAUUAAAUCUGGUGAAGAAGA
RNAcentral lists this long non-coding RNA (18573 nucleotides) under Solanum lycopersicum (tomato). Its description in RNAcentral is "long non-coding RNA (SLYC_LNC000114)". The record is from RNAcentral. Lineage: Eukaryota; Viridiplantae; Streptophyta; Magnoliopsida; Solanales; Solanaceae.